AGUGAACGCUGGCGGUAUGCCUAACACAUGCAAGUCGAACGGCAGCACAGUAAGAGCUUGCUCUUACGGGUGGCGAGUGGCGGACGGGUGAGGAAUACAUCGGAAUCUACUUUUUCGUGGGGGAUAACGUAGGGAAACCUACGCUAAUACCGCAUACGACCUACGGGUGAAAGCAUGGGAUCUUCGGACCUUGCGCGAUUGAAUGAGCCGAUGUCGGAUUAGCUAGUGGGCGGGGUAAAGGCCCACCAAGUCGACGAUCCGUAGCUGGUCUGAGAGGAUGAUCGGCCACACUGGAACUGAGACACGGUCCAGACUCCUACGGGAGGCAGCAGUGGGGAAUAGUGGGCAAUGGGCGGAAGCCUGAUCCAGCCGUAGCGCGUGGGUGAAGAAGGCCUUCGGGUUGUAAAGACCUUUUGUUGGUAAAGAAAAGCAGCAGGUUAAUACGCCGCUGUUGUGACGGUACCCAAAGAAUAAGCACCGGCUAACUUCGUG
RNAcentral lists this ribosomal RNA (492 nucleotides) under uncultured bacterium. RNAcentral describes it as "partial 16S ribosomal RNA". It matches the Rfam family "Bacterial small subunit ribosomal RNA", at positions 29 to 507 of the family's 1533-position model. The record is from RNAcentral.